RNAcentral lists this small nuclear RNA (139 nucleotides) under Mus spicilegus (steppe mouse). Its description in RNAcentral is "U1 spliceosomal RNA (ENSMSIG00000017700.1)". It matches the Rfam family "U1 spliceosomal RNA". Rfam says of the family: U1 is a small nuclear RNA (snRNA) component of the spliceosome (involved in pre-mRNA splicing). Its 5' end forms complementary base pairs with the 5' splice junction, thus defining the 5' donor site of an intron. The record is from RNAcentral. Lineage: Eukaryota; Metazoa; Chordata; Mammalia; Rodentia; Muridae.
UCAGUUACCUGACAGGGUAGAUACCAUGAUCACUAAGGUGGUUUUCCCAAGAUGAGACUUAUCCAUUGCACUCCAGAUGUGCUGACCCCUGCAGUUUUCCUAACGUGGUAGUGGGGGACUUAGUUUGCACUUGCCUCUG